GUCAGGAUGGCCGAGUGGUCUAAGGCGCCAGACUCAAGGUUGUUCCCUUCCCAGGGUUUGGGGUUUCUGGUCUCCACAUGGAGGCGUGGGUUCAAAUCCCACUCCUGACA
This 110-nucleotide transfer RNA is filed under the name Chaetura pelagica (chimney swift). It matches the Rfam family "tRNA". From Rfam's summary of the family: Transfer RNA (tRNA) molecules are approximately 80 nucleotides in length. Their secondary structure includes four short double-helical elements and three loops (D, anti-codon, and T loops). Further hydrogen bonds mediate the characteristic L-shaped molecular structure. tRNAs have two regions of fundamental functional importance: the anti-codon, which is responsible for specific mRNA codon recognition, and the 3' end, to which the tRNAs corresponding amino acid is attached (by aminoacyl-tRNA synthetases). tRNAs cope with the degeneracy of the genetic code in two manners: having more than one tRNA (with a specific anti-codon) for a particular amino acid; and 'wobble' base-pairing, i.e. permitting non-standard base-pairing at the 3rd anti-codon position. Lineage: Eukaryota; Metazoa; Chordata; Aves; Apodiformes; Apodidae. The record is from Rfam by way of RNAcentral.